Molecule: ribosomal RNA, 320 nt
Filed under: uncultured bacterium
Lineage: Bacteria
Description: bacterial SSU rRNA
Rfam family: Bacterial small subunit ribosomal RNA
Source: RNAcentral
GGGGGACCGACGAACGGCCUCGCGCGUAGUUGGAUGACGCCGACGUCGUAUAGCUAGUGGAGGGUAAGGCCCACCAAGGCGACGAUCCGUAGCUGGUCUGAGAGGAUGAUCAGCCACACUGGAACUGAGACACGGUCCAGACUCCUACGGGAGGCAGCAGUGGGGAAUAUUGGACAAUGGGCGCAAGCCUGAUCCAGCAAUGCCGCGUGUGUGAAGAAGGCCUUCGGGUUGUAAAGCACUUUUAUCAGGAACGAAAAGCGUUGGAUUAAUACUCUGACGUGCUGACGGUACCUGAGGAAUAAGCACCGGCUAACUUCGUG